This 468-nucleotide ribosomal RNA is filed under the name uncultured bacterium. RNAcentral's name for it is "partial 16S ribosomal RNA". It matches the Rfam family "Bacterial small subunit ribosomal RNA", at positions 28 to 507 of the family's 1533-position model. The record is from RNAcentral.
GACGAACGCUGGCGGCGUGCUUAACACAUGCAAGUCGAACGGAAAGGCCCUGCUUUUGUUUGGUGCUCGAGUGGCGAACGGGUGAGUAACACGUGUGUAACCUCCCCUUGACUUUGGGAUAACUUUAGGAAACUGGGGCUAAUACCGGAUAGGAGCUCCUGCUGCAUGGUGGUGGAUGGAAAGUUUCGGCGGUUGUGGAUGUACUCGCGGCUUAUCAGCUUGUUUGUGUGGUAGUGGCUUACCAAGGCUUUGACGGAUAGCCGGCCUGAGAGCGUUAACGGGCACAUUGGGACUGAGAGACGGAGCAGACGGCUACGGGAGGCAGCAGGGGGGAAUAUUGCACAAGGGGCGGAAGUCUGAUACAGAAACGUCGGGUGCGGGAUAACGGCCUUCGGGGGGUAAACAGCUUUCGAAUGUGACGAAGAGUGAGUGACGGUAAUGGGUAAAGAAGCACCGGCUAACUACGUG